This 570-nucleotide non-coding RNA is filed under the name Pongo abelii (Sumatran orangutan). The record is from RNAcentral. Lineage: Eukaryota; Metazoa; Chordata; Mammalia; Primates; Hominidae.
AUAUCUUUCAGGUCAUCCAGAGGUGCCCAAGCCACACCAACAGAGAAGACAGUGAUUCCUACAAUGAAAACAUUUUAAAGUGAAUUAAAAAUCAGGUCUAGCUAAUAUAUGGAGUUAUGUCUAUAUGUUUUCCAUACAUUGUUACAUAGUUGCAGCGAAAACUGCUUACUAAUUUCUGGACAAUUAAAUCCCCUGAACAAAUAAGUUUUCACAGUCAUUGUGACAAAGGCGUGGCAAAAGAGUGGUCCAAACCAGAAACUCUGCUAUAUCUGUAACUCACCACAUUAACAGUAUCUUUUUAAAAAUCCUACAGUGAAGGCAGAUGGUGAAAAUUUUCCAUAUGAGGUUGGCCUGCAUCAAACAGUAUACUGGAGUCAGAGUCACAAUCCAUUAAAGCAAGGAAGAAUGGCACAAGAGAUGGGAUAAAACAAGGACCUUACCUGCAUCAUGUGCAGCAGCUGCAGGGCCUUGGACAUCAUCAUAGGACUGCCCAUCUGUGACAAUUACUAGGAAGUUCUUGUUGGGGCUCUCCCUUAUAGGGCCAAACACAUUUCUAACAGUAAAGGAAAU